CACACACACACACACACACACACACACACACACACACACACACACACACACACACACACACACACACACACACACACACACACAUGGGAGUGUUGAGAGCUGGCAGUUUAGUGAAGUGUGUCUUCUGUGAUUUGACAGAGUUGUCCCCAGCUCUUGUUCUCUGUAUCUCUCCUCCC
Molecule: long non-coding RNA, 176 nt
Organism: Etheostoma spectabile (orangethroat darter)
Lineage: Eukaryota; Metazoa; Chordata; Actinopteri; Perciformes; Percidae
Exons: 3
Source: RefSeq, a predicted model, not a curated record